CAGUGCAAUGUAAAAAGGGCAU
RNAcentral lists this microRNA (22 nucleotides) under Sphenodon punctatus (tuatara). RNAcentral's name for it is "Spt-Mir-130-P1c_3p (mature (guide))". Lineage: Eukaryota; Metazoa; Chordata; Lepidosauria; Sphenodontia; Sphenodontidae. The record is from RNAcentral. RNAcentral also lists the same sequence under 6 other names.